This 253-nucleotide ribosomal RNA is filed under the name uncultured bacterium. RNAcentral describes it as "partial 16S ribosomal RNA". It matches the Rfam family "Bacterial small subunit ribosomal RNA", at positions 524 to 776 of the family's 1533-position model. The record is from RNAcentral.
UACGUAGGGUGCAAGCGUUGUCCGGAAUUAUUGGGCGUAAAGAGCUCGUAGGCGGUUUGUCGCGUCGAAUGUGAAAACCCGGGGCUCAACUCCGGGCCUGCAUUCGAUACGGGCAGACUAGAGUUCGGUAGGGGAGUCUGGAAUUCCUGGUGUAGCGGUGAAAUGCGCAGAUAUCAGGAGGAACACCGGUGGCGAAGGCGGGACUCUGGGCCGAUACUGACGCUGAGGCGCGAAAGCCAGGGGAGCGAACGGG